GGACCAGAGCACCGAGGGGCAUGAGCUGGUGGCGAGGCCAGACGUGGUCGGGGCCCAGCGAGUGAACCCUGCUCCGUCUUCAGUUCAGGAUGUGACAGUGACUCGGGGCGACCAGGCUAUGUUUUCUUGCAUCGUGAACUUCCAGCUGCCAAAGGAGGAGAUCACCUAUUCCUGGAAGUUCGCAGGAGGAGCUCCGGACUCAGGACUUGUCCUAUUUCCGAGAUAUGCCGCGGGCCGAAGGAUACCUGGCGCGGAUCCGGCCGGCUCAGCUCACGCACCGCGGGACGUUCUCCUGCGUGAUCAAGCAAGACCAGCGCCCCCUGGCCCGGCUCUACUUCUUUCUUAACGUGACGGGCCCGCCCCCGCGGGCGGAGACAGAGUUGCAGGCCUCGUUCCGGGAGGUGCUGCGCUGGGCGCCGCGGGAUGCCGAGCUGAUCGAGCCCUGGAGGCCCAGCCUGGGCGAGCUGCUGGCCAGGCCCGAGGCUCUGACGCCCAGCAACCUAUUCCUGCUUGCAGUCCUCGGGGCCCUCGCAUCAGCGAGUGCGACAGUGUUGGCGUGGAUGUUCUUUCGAUGGUACUGCAGUGGCAACUAACAAAGAUAUCUCUUUCCUCCUUCCCUAUCCUAUUUCCAUCCUGAAAAUAAAGAAUAUAUUUCGACUGUA
RNAcentral lists this small RNA (662 nucleotides) under Pongo abelii (Sumatran orangutan). RNAcentral's name for it is "retained intron". The record is from RNAcentral. Lineage: Eukaryota; Metazoa; Chordata; Mammalia; Primates; Hominidae.